This 394-nucleotide ribosomal RNA is filed under the name uncultured bacterium. RNAcentral describes it as "bacterial SSU rRNA". It matches the Rfam family "Bacterial small subunit ribosomal RNA", at positions 96 to 524 of the family's 1533-position model. The record is from RNAcentral.
UGGCGGACGGGUGAGUAACGCGUGGGAACGUGCCCUUCGGUUCGGAAUAACUCAGGGAAACUUGAGCUAAUACCGGAUACGUGCGAGAGCAGAAAGGUUUAUCUGCCGAAGGAUCGGCCCGCGUCUGAUUAGCUAGUUGGUGAGGUUACGGCUCACCAAGGCGACGAUCAGUAGCUGGUCUGAGAGGAUGAUCAGCCACACUGGGACUGAGACACGGCCCAGACUCCUACGGGAGGCAGCAGUGGGGAAUAUUGGACAAUGGGGGCAACCCUGAUCCAGCCAUGCCGCGUGAGUGAUGAAGGCCUUAGGGUUGUAAAGCUCUUUUACCAGGGAUGAUAAUGACAGUACCUGGAGAAUAAGCUCCGGCUAACUCCGUACCAGCAGCCGCGGUAAU